GGCGGACGGGUGAGUAACACGUGGAUAACCUACCUAUAAGACUGGGAUAACUUCGGGAAACCGGAGCUAAUACCGGAUAAUAUAUUGAACCGCCUGGUUCAAUAGUGAAAGACGGUUUUGCUGUCACUUAUAGAUGGAUCCGCGCCGCAUUAGCUAGUUGGUAAGGUAACGGCUUACCAAGGCAACGAUGCGUAGCCGACCUGAGAGGGUGAUCGGCCACACUGGAACUGAGACACGGUCCAG
RNAcentral lists this ribosomal RNA (243 nucleotides) under uncultured Staphylococcus sp. Its description in RNAcentral is "partial 16S ribosomal RNA". It matches the Rfam family "Bacterial small subunit ribosomal RNA", at positions 97 to 334 of the family's 1533-position model. Lineage: Bacteria; Bacillati; Bacillota; Bacilli; Caryophanales; Staphylococcaceae. The record is from RNAcentral.